UGAAUCUUCAUUCUCCUUAUUAGUAUCACUUCAUAUUUUCUUAUAUAAUAUGCAAAAUUAUUCAAUUUACUUAAAGAUGACAAUUUUUCCUUAAUACAUUUCAGCCAAGACAUUACGUAAAACAUAAUUUAAAUGCUCGAAAAAAUCAUCUUGUAUAAAUUCUAGUUGCAAUCAUAUUAUGUUUUUGUGGAACAAACACCAGAAAGAUUGAUCGCUAUAUUCUACUAAUUAUCGUUCAUCAUAUUUUACAUAAAGAUAUGUGCCAUCAUUCGAUAAAAAUGUAAAAUACGUAAAAUAUGCGUUAUCGUGUAAAAUAAUACAAAUCAAAUUGCAAUAAUAUGCAUACAUCCAGUUAUUUGCUAAUUCAAAUAACAAAAUAUUACGUUAUAACCCUAAAUUUAAAAGACAGAAUAUAUUUUUCGAACAAAAAAAGUAUAUAAGCUCUGCCAAGACGUUUUAAAUAGCUCUACAAGAACGUGUUAUUUGCACCGUGAUACAGCUGGCAAUAACCAUGACACGCAGUUUAGGUUCUUAUUAAUCGUCGCCUUAGUGAUCGGCAUUGAAGCUUCUUCAAUCAAGGAGAGGUUGAUUGGUGCGAAAGAUGCGGAAAUUGGAGAAUUUCCUUUUGCAGUAUCGAUUCGCUCAAACAACAAACACUUUUGCAGUGGUGCACUAAUUACAAAGAGACACGUAUUGACGGUAGCUCACUGCGUUUUUGUGACAAAUUACAUGUUUGGCAGUCUCAUCGUCGUCGUUGGCACCAACAGUGUGUCCACCGGUGGAAAGUCUUACAGGAUUAGCCACUCAUAUCAACAUCCAGAUUUUGAAUUCCAGGACUUGUUUCCGGAUUGGAUGUAUGACAUCGGCAUUUUUAAGCUUGCCGAUGAAAUCGAGCUAUCAGAUCUCAUUGUUAUCGCAAAACUACCUACUAAGGAUGUAGAGGUUAGUUCACGAGCUGUUGUAUCGGGAUAGGGUUCAACGGAGAAUGCGUAUACGCCAGUUUCAACAACGCUUAAAAAACUAGAGAUGGAAAUCAUAGAUCAAAAGACCUGUCAAGAAAAGAUGGGGAAACAAGCUUACGUAGACCAGUGACAUAUUUGUACUAAGCUUCAUAAGGGGCAUGGCAUUUGCGCUGGAGACAGCGGAGGCCCAUUGACCCAGGAUGGCGUUCUUAUAUCGGCAUCGUAUCUGGAGGUAUCCCUUGUGCCAAAGGCUAUCCGGGCGUUUAUACAAACGUAUUCAAAUAUUCAAGUUACAUCGAUGAAACUUUUAACAAAAGUAAAUAAACAUAGAUAAUUUGUAA
RNA transcript from Nasonia vitripennis (jewel wasp), 1303 nucleotides. It is a transcript of the gene named serine protease 55-like, with no coding region annotated. The record is from RefSeq and is a predicted model, not a curated record. NCBI's taxonomy places the organism in Eukaryota, Metazoa, Arthropoda, Insecta, Hymenoptera, Pteromalidae. The transcript is spliced from 5 exons.